UACGUAGGGUGCGAGCGUUAAUCGGAAUUACUGGGCGUAAAGCGUGCGCAGGCGGCUUUGCAAGACAGAUGUGAAAUCCCCGGGCUCAACCUGGGAACUGCAUUUGUGACUGUAUAGCUAGAGUACGGUAGAGGGGGAUGGAAUUCCGCGUGUAGCAGUGAAAUGCGUAGAUAUGCGGAGGAACACCGAUGGCGAAGGCAAUCCCCUGGA
This 210-nucleotide ribosomal RNA is filed under the name uncultured bacterium. Its description in RNAcentral is "partial 16S ribosomal RNA". It matches the Rfam family "Bacterial small subunit ribosomal RNA", at positions 524 to 733 of the family's 1533-position model. The record is from RNAcentral.